Molecule: ribosomal RNA, 375 nt
Filed under: uncultured organism
Description: partial 16S ribosomal RNA
Rfam family: Bacterial small subunit ribosomal RNA
Source: RNAcentral
GUAGGUGGCAAGCGUUGUCCGGAAUUAUUGGGCGUAAAGCGCGCGCAGGCGGUUCUUUAAGGGUCUGAUGUGAAAGCCCACGGGCUCAACCGUGGAGGGUCAUUGGAAACUGGAGAACUUGAGUACAGAAGAGGAAAGCGGAAUUCCACGUGUAGCGGUGAAAUGCGUAGAGAUGUGGAGGAACACCAGUGGCGAAGGCGGCUUUCUGGUCUGUAACUGACGCUGAGGCGCGAAAGCGUGGGGAGCAAACAGGAUUAGAUACCCUGGUAGUCCACGCCGUAAACGAUGAGUGCUAAGUGUUAGGGGGUUUCCGCCCCUUAGUGCUGCAGCUAACGCAUUAAGCACUCCGCCUGGGGAGUACGGCCGCAAAGGCUG